UGCAAAAAAUUCAAGUAUGAAACUAAGGGAUUAUGCUGCAGAAAAGGACAGAUAAGACUAGCCAAUGCAGAUACACCACCUGAACUCAUAAGACUUUGGACAAGCAACGACUUUGACGCAAGACAUUUUUGGAACAAUAUAAGAUUUUUCAAUGGCCACUUCUCGUUUACUACUCUAUAUUGCCAUCUUGACAGAGACACAACUGACAUGCGACCAUCUGGUGGUAUUUACACCUUUCGGGCACAUGGUCAGAUCUAUCACAACAUACACUCAUUUGGUAAUAGUUGAUCAGAUCCAAAGCAUGUGGAGCUAUACUUCUACGACGAUGAUCCAAGCUUAGAGCAUCGGUACCGCCGUUGCCGCGAGGAAAUGUACGAGCAAGACAAGCAUGUGAUCGGGAUAAUAACCGACAUCCUAUGGGAUAACCCAUACUCUCAACAGUUUAGGAGUUUGGGACGAGCCCAAAACCUUGAGGACUACAGACUCAUCUUAAACCUGGACCAAAGAUUGGACCAGAGAACAUACAACGCGCCAAUAAAUUCGGAGGUAGCUGCAGUGUGGAUUGAAGGAAAUGAAAGAACUUAUGACAGGAAUGUAAUACUACAUGGAAACAACAACGAAAUAGAGCACAUUCGAUCAUAUACAGGUGCUAUGAUUCGUUGUCGUACCCUCUAUUCUUUCCAAGAGCUGAACUGGGUUGGCAUAGGAAAAUCCCAAAGAGGAAUAUAA
This 729-nucleotide ribosomal RNA is filed under the name Triticum aestivum (bread wheat). RNAcentral describes it as "partial small subunit ribosomal RNA". The record is from RNAcentral. Lineage: Eukaryota; Viridiplantae; Streptophyta; Magnoliopsida; Poales; Poaceae.